This 240-nucleotide unclassified non-coding RNA is filed under the name soil metagenome. RNAcentral describes it as "partial contains 5.8S ribosomal RNA, internal transcribed spacer 2, and large subunit ribosomal RNA". The record is from RNAcentral.
AACAUCGCGCACCUGCGGGAACCUGCGGAAGGAUCAUUACAGAGUUGCAAAACUCCCUAAACCAUUGCGAACGCUACCUAAACCGUUGCUUCGGCGGGCGGCCCGGGUCCUUCCCGGCGCCCAUCGGCCCUCGCGGGCGCCCGCCGGAGGUAAACCAAACUAUUGCAUUGUAUGGCCUCUCUGAGUCUUCUGUACUGAAUAAGUCAAAACUUUCAACAACGGAUCUCAGAUCGGAAGAGC